UGAUCCAGCAAUGCCGCGUGAGUGAUGAAGGCCUUCCGGGUUGUAAAGCUCCUUUUUGCCAGGGACGAUGAUGACGGUACCUGGAGAAUAAGCCCCGGCUAACUUCGUGCCAGCAGCCGCAGUAAUACGAAGGGGGCAAGCGUUGUUCGGAAUUACUGGGCGUAAAGGGCGCGUAGGCGGCUUAUCAAGUCAGGCGUGAAAUUUCCGGGCUCAACCUGGGGGCUGCGCUUGAUACUGAUUGGCUUGAAUGCGGGAGAGG
This 259-nucleotide ribosomal RNA is filed under the name uncultured Nitrospira sp. Its description in RNAcentral is "partial 16S ribosomal RNA". It matches the Rfam family "Bacterial small subunit ribosomal RNA", at positions 384 to 657 of the family's 1533-position model. Lineage: Bacteria; Pseudomonadati; Nitrospirota; Nitrospiria; Nitrospirales; Nitrospiraceae. The record is from RNAcentral.